GAUGAAGAACGCAGCGAAAUGCGAUACUUGGUGUGAAUUGCAGAAUCCCGUGAACCAUCGAGUCUUUGAACGCAAGUUGCGCCCGAAGCCACUAGGCCGAGGGCACGCCUGCCUGGGCGUCACACGUCGUUGCCCCCCCAUCUACUCCUUCGGGAUUGCGGGGGGGCGGAUGAUGGCCUCCCGUGCGCCUAGCCGCGCGGUUGGCAUAAAUACCAAGUCCUCGGCGACGCACGCCACGACAAUCGGUGGUUGCGAAACCUCGGUUGCCUGUCGUGUGCGUUCGUCGCGCAUCGAGGGCUCGAAAAAAUGCUCGGCUUCGGCUCGGCUUUCAACGCGACCCCAGGUCAGGCGGGGUUACCCGCUGAAUUUAAGCAUAUCAAUAAGCGGAGGA
RNAcentral lists this unclassified non-coding RNA (391 nucleotides) under soil metagenome. RNAcentral describes it as "partial contains 5.8S ribosomal RNA, internal transcribed spacer 2, and large subunit ribosomal RNA". The stretch from base 1 to 122 matches the Rfam family "5.8S ribosomal RNA", at positions 35 to 154 of the family's 154-position model. The record is from RNAcentral.